Molecule: ribosomal RNA, 494 nt
Filed under: uncultured bacterium
Lineage: Bacteria
Description: partial 16S ribosomal RNA
Rfam family: Bacterial small subunit ribosomal RNA
Source: RNAcentral
GAACGCUGGCGGCGUGCCUAAUACAUGCAAGUCGAGCGACCAGACGAGGAGCUUGCUCCUCUGACGUUAGCGGCGGACGGGUGAGUAACACGUGGAUAACCUACCUAUAAGACUGGGAUAACUUCGGGAAACCGGAGCUAAUACCGGAUAAUAUAUUGAACCGCAUGGUUCAAUAGUGAAAGACGGUUUUGCUGUCACUUAUAGAUGGAUCCGCGCCGCAUUAGCUAGUUGGUAAGGUAACGGCUUACCAAGGCAACGAUGCGUAGCCGACCUGAGAGGGUGAUCGGCCACACUGGAACUGAGACACGGUCCAGACUCCUACGGGAGGCAGCAGUAGGGAAUCUUCCGCAAUGGGCGAAAGCCUGACGGAGCAACGCCGCGUGAGUGAUGAAGGUCUUCGGAUCGUAAAACUCUGUUAUUAGGGAAGAACAAAUGUGUAAGUAACUAUGCACGUCUUGACGGUACCUAAUCAGAAAGCCACGGCUAACUACGUG